RNAcentral lists this ribosomal RNA (115 nucleotides) under Vibrio splendidus. Its description in RNAcentral is "partial 16S ribosomal RNA". It matches the Rfam family "Bacterial small subunit ribosomal RNA", at positions 1421 to 1533 of the family's 1533-position model. The record is from RNAcentral. Lineage: Bacteria; Pseudomonadati; Pseudomonadota; Gammaproteobacteria; Vibrionales; Vibrionaceae.
AAGAAGUGGGUAGUUUAACCUUUCGAGGAGGACGCUCACCACUUUGUGGUUCAUGACUGGGGUGAAGUCGUAACAAGGUAGCCCUAGGGGAACCUGGGGCUGGAUCACCUCCUUA